GUGCUUGCUUCGGCAACACAUAUACUAAAA
This 30-nucleotide small nuclear RNA is filed under the name Cervus elaphus hippelaphus. The record is from RNAcentral. Lineage: Eukaryota; Metazoa; Chordata; Mammalia; Artiodactyla; Cervidae.